This 503-nucleotide ribosomal RNA is filed under the name uncultured bacterium. RNAcentral's name for it is "bacterial SSU rRNA". It matches the Rfam family "Bacterial small subunit ribosomal RNA", at positions 21 to 507 of the family's 1533-position model. The record is from RNAcentral.
GGCUCAGGAUGAACGCUGGCGGCAUGCCUAAUACAUGCAAGUCGAACGAGAGGAAGGAAAGCUUGUUUUCUGAAUCUAGUGGCGAACGGGUGAGUAACACGUAGGUAACCUGCCCAUGUGCCCGGGAUAACUUCUGGAAACGGAUGCUAAAACCGGAUAGGUAGCAGACAAGCAUUUGACUGCUAUUAAAGUGGCUAAGGCCAUGAACAUGGAUGGACCUGCGGUGCAUUAGCUAGUUGGUGAGGUAACGGCCCACCAAGGCGACGAUGCAUAGCCGGGCCUGAGAGGGCGGACGGCCACAUUGGGACUGAGACACGGCCCAAACUCCUACGGGAGGCAGCAGUAGGGAAUUUUCGUCAAUGGGGGGAACCCUGAACGAGCAAUGCCGCGUGAGUGAGGAAGGUCUUCGGAUCGUAAAGCUCUGUUGUAAGAGAAAAACGACAUUCAUAGGGAAUGAUGAGUGAGUGAUGGUAUCUUACCAGAAAGUCACGGCUAACUACGUG